UACAGAGGUGGCAAGCGUUGUUCGGAUUUACUGGGCGUAAAGGGUGCGUAGGUGGUUGCUUAUGUCGGGCGUGAAAGCCCACGGCUCAACCGUGGAAGUGCGUCCGAAACUGGGCGACUAGAGUGCAGGAUGGGAGAGCGGAAUUCUUGGUGUAGCGGUGAAAUGCGUUGAUAUCAAGAAGAACACCGGUGGCGAAGGCGGCUCUCUGGAAUGCAACUGACACUGAGGCACGAAAGAUGGGGGAGCAAACAGG
Molecule: ribosomal RNA, 253 nt
Filed under: uncultured bacterium
Lineage: Bacteria
Description: partial 16S ribosomal RNA
Rfam family: Bacterial small subunit ribosomal RNA
Source: RNAcentral